This 73-nucleotide transfer RNA is filed under the name Lepisosteus oculatus (spotted gar). It matches the Rfam family "tRNA". Rfam says of the family: Transfer RNA (tRNA) molecules are approximately 80 nucleotides in length. The record is from Rfam by way of RNAcentral. Lineage: Eukaryota; Metazoa; Chordata; Actinopteri; Semionotiformes; Lepisosteidae.
CCCCAACUAGCUCUGCUGGUAGAGCAGGAGACUCAUAAUCUCAGGCGAGUGGGUUCAUGUCCCACAUUGGGAG